This 1161-nucleotide ribosomal RNA is filed under the name Triticum aestivum (bread wheat). RNAcentral's name for it is "partial small subunit ribosomal RNA". The record is from RNAcentral. Lineage: Eukaryota; Viridiplantae; Streptophyta; Magnoliopsida; Poales; Poaceae.
AUGGCGGAGGAACCGUCCGCCAAGCGUCAUCAUGCCAAGACGUCGGACAAGAGGAGCAACCUCGUCGACAUUAACGUCCCCAGCGAGAAGCGCGAGUAUACCAGAACGCUCAAAGGGGUUGAGCUCCACGGCAAGGAGACGCUGGAGAUCGUCUGCACCAGCGAACCAGACAAGGCUGACGAGGUGAUCUCCAGGCUCUGGAGGAAGCUUGGCCACAGGUUUCGUAGGAUCGUCGGCGUUGGUGUGCACUACACCAAUGAAGAUGAACCUCCCCAGAUGGCAGCAGUCCUGCAGUUGUGCGUCGACGAAACCACCAUUGCCGCUUCCAUUUCCAUUGCACACAAACCUCCGGCGUCUCUCUCCAAAGCCCGCAGUCGCCGGAGGAAGGCCAUGGCGGAGGAACCGUCCGCCAAGCGUCAUCAUGCCGAGACGUCGGACAAGAGGAGCAACCUCGUCGACAUUAACGUCCCCAGCGAGAAGAGCGAGUAUACCAGAACGCUCAAAGGGGUUGAGCUCCACGGCAAGGAGACGCUGGAGAUCGUCUGCACCAGCGAACCAGACAAGGCUGAUGAGGUGAUCUCCAGGCUCUGGAGGAAGCUUGGCCACAGGUUUCGUAGGAUCAUCGGCGUUGGUGUGCACUACACCAAUGAAGAUGAACCUCCCCAGAUGGCAGCAGUCCUGCAGUUGUGCGUCGACGAACUCUGCUUGGUGUACCACAUCGCAGCGGCCACAAAAUGGCCCAAGCUCCUGACCGCCAUGCUGCAGCAUGACAAGUUGUUCACAUUUGCCGGUUUCAGCAUUGAAAGCGACAAAGAGAAGCUGAAGUUGUCCGAUAUGGAGAUCAUCCCCAACAAGUUCAUCGACAUUCAGCGCAACUGGAGAUUUCCAUACACCGGAAAAGAGUACGACUCCUUGACUGGUGUUGCAGCUAGCGUCAUCCACCCAUUCUACAAAGGCAUGAAGAACAAGAUCAACACGCAGGAAGACUACACACUGUGGGGGACCAGCGAGCUGCCAGACAACCUCAUCGAGUAUGCAGGAGUAGAUGCGUACGCCGCGUACAAGUCAUGGUUCAUGAUUGACUACAUCACAGAUGGUUCGGAAUAUGCGAAACAGUGGGAGGUUGAAAACUCUUACGACCACCCCUAUUGCCCCUUUUAG